This 850-nucleotide ribosomal RNA is filed under the name delta proteobacterium SCGC AAA240-B17. RNAcentral's name for it is "SSU rRNA". It matches the Rfam family "Bacterial small subunit ribosomal RNA", at positions 29 to 894 of the family's 1533-position model. Lineage: Bacteria; Deltaproteobacteria. The record is from RNAcentral.
GAGGACGCUGGCGGCAUGCCUAACACAUGCAAGUCGAACGAGAAAGUUCCUUCGGGAGCAAUUAAAGUGGCGCACGGGUGAGUAACGCGUAGACAAUCUGCCCUUCAGUCUGGGACAACUUUUCGAAAGGAGAGCUAAUACCGGAUAACAAUGCAUGACACAAGUUGUAUAUUUGAAAGCUUUAUGUGCUGAAGGAGGGGUCUGCGUCCCAUUAGCUAGUUGGUAAGGUAAAGGCUUACCAAGGCAACGAUGGGUAGCGGGUUUGAGAGGACGAUCCGCCACACUGGAACUGAGACACGGUCCAGACUCCUACGGGAGGCAGCAGUGGGGAAUAUUGCACAAUGGAGGAAACUCUGAUGCAGCAAUGUCGCGUGAGUGAAGAAGGCCCUUGGGUCGUAAAGCUCUUUUAUGGGGGAAGAUGAUGACGGUACCCCAAGAAUAAGCACCGGCUAACUAUGUGCCAGCAGCCGCGGUAAUACAUAGGGUGCGAGCGUUGUUCGGAAUUACUGGGCGUAAAGGGCGCGCAGGCGGAAUAGUAAGUCGGAGGUGAAAGCCCGGGGCUCAACCCCGGAGGGUCUUUCGAAACUACUAAUCUAGAGAGGGUCAGGGGCCGGCAGAAUUCCUGGUGUAGAGGUGAAAUUCGUAGAUAUCAGGAGGAAUACCGGUGGCGAAGGCGGCCGGCUGGGGCCACUCUGACGCUGAGGCGCGAAAGCGUGGGGAGCAAACAGGAUUAGAUACCCUGGUAGUCCACGCCGUAAACGAUGAGCACUGGACGUCCGGAGGGUUCGACCCUUCUGGGUGUCUCAGCUAACGCAUUAAGUGCUCCGCCUGGGGAGUACGGUCGCAAGAC